CAGGUCCAGUUUAUCAUCACAGGUAGGAGUAGAGAAUGUCUUUUUUUUCACUUCAUCAACAAAUAUUAGUAAGUACUUUAAGUAGUAAUGUUAAUGUUCCCAAUAUUUCUGCUAACCCAGCAGUGAUAAUGUUGUCCGUUUGCUGUUUCAGUGAAGUGGAGGAAUUUAAUAUCAACGGAGGUCAGAAAAGAGACCAUUCAGGGUCCUUGAGGCUUCUGUCGUCCUCCACUGUGAAAUACAGAGAGAUGCGGAUGUUCAUUAUUGAGCUGUAGGCCGAUGUAUAAAAUAUUGAUUCUG
Molecule: long non-coding RNA, 297 nt
Organism: Micropterus dolomieu (smallmouth bass)
Lineage: Eukaryota; Metazoa; Chordata; Actinopteri; Centrarchiformes; Centrarchidae
Exons: 2
Source: RefSeq, a predicted model, not a curated record